RNAcentral lists this unclassified non-coding RNA (471 nucleotides) under Hevea brasiliensis (rubber tree). The record is from RNAcentral. Lineage: Eukaryota; Viridiplantae; Streptophyta; Magnoliopsida; Malpighiales; Euphorbiaceae.
UCAACCACUUUUACAUUGGGAAACCAUUUGAUAACCAACUCCUUCAGAGAGGGAAGCAGCCCAAGUUGCGGCAAGGUUGUGCACUUGAAGCAAUUUUCCAACUUUAGUCUCACCAAAUUGCUAAAUAAAGGAUCCCCUACCCACGAUGGAAAUUGAAUACCACCAUAACGAAUUAUGGUGAGCUUUUUCAGAUUUCCAUGAGGUAUCAUCUUCUCAAUUACUUCCCUAUCGCAAUUUUCGUUUGGGAUAUUUUGAAAUUUCAAUAUACGGGGAAAAUCAACAAAUCCCCAAUUCAUCACCAGAUUGUCUAUUCUCUCCUUGUCUGAUAGAAUGGCUCCUCUUAAAUCUGAAUCAUUAGCCACAUUUUCCAACCCUGAAAUGCAGAGGGUCCCUUCAAGAAAUUUUAAAUUCGUCAAAGCUGUUAUACCGACUUCAUUACCCUCCCCCACAACAAAAUCAGACAAUGUCCGA